CAGCCGUAAACUAUGCGCGUUAGGUGUACUGGUGACCACGAGUCACCGGGGUGCCGAAGGGAAACCGUGAAACGUGCCGCCUGGGAAGUACGGUCGCAAGGCUGAAACUUAAAGGAAUUGGCGGGGGAGCACCGCAACGGGAGGAACGUGCGGUUUAAUUGGAUUCAACACCGGAAACUCACCAGCAGCGACUGUUACAUGAAAGUCAGGCCGAUGACCUUACUAGAUUUUCAGAGAGGUGGUGCAUGGCGUCAGUGACU
This 260-nucleotide ribosomal RNA is filed under the name uncultured archaeon. RNAcentral describes it as "partial 16S ribosomal RNA". It matches the Rfam family "Archaeal small subunit ribosomal RNA", at positions 748 to 1008 of the family's 1478-position model. The record is from RNAcentral.